Molecule: ribosomal RNA, 301 nt
Filed under: uncultured bacterium
Lineage: Bacteria
Description: partial 16S ribosomal RNA
Rfam family: Bacterial small subunit ribosomal RNA
Source: RNAcentral
CAGCAGCCGCGGUAAUACGUAGGGUGCAAGAGUUAAUCGGAAUUACUGGGCGUAAAGCGUGCGCAGGCGGUUAUAUAAGACAGAUGUGAAAUCCCCGGGCUCAACCUGGGAACUGCAUUUGUGACUGUAUAGCUAGAGUACGGCAGAGGGGGAUGGAAUUCCGCGUGUAGCAGUGAAAUGCGUAGAUAUGCGGAGGAACACCGAUGGCGAAGGCAAUCCCCUGGGCCUGUACUGACGCUCAUGCACGAAAGCGUGGGGAGCAAACAGGAUUAGAUACCCCGGUAGUCCCUGUCUCUUAUAC